CAUUUUCUUCUUCUUUUUUUUCACUUGGAAAUUUCUUUUAUUAUGAUUUCUUCUUAAGGAAUUUUUAGUACUAUUUCUUGAUUUUUGGGAUCUUGAAAAUAUUAGGGAAAUUGUUGAGAAAGGAAAAAAUGUGAAAUUUUAAUAGGUAUUUUUUCUUUGCUGACCAAAAUUAAUUGACUAAAAUCAAAUUCAAGUAGGAAAGAGGUUUCAGGUAUAGUAAAAAAAAGGGGUUUUGGGUGCAUUUGUUGUGUGUACUAAAUCCUCAAAUCGAUUGACCAAAAUUUUGUUUUGAUUUUAGCGUGUUCAUGACCUGCGAUUAACACUAUUUUCUACUCUGGUUAUUUUCUACUCUGCUACUCCGGUCGACCAUUGCUACUCCGAUUGGCCUGCUAAGUCGCACUAUUUUUUAUUUCAGCUUUAGCAAUUGACUACCAGGUAAGGUCAUUUUGUCAUCAAAUUUAAUUUUAGCAAACAUUUCUUAUGCUAAAAUGCUUUAUUCAAAUAUACUAACUGUAUGCUUGUAUUCUAGUGAGAUUAGGAAUAAUUGUCCAAAGCAGCUGCAAGUAGGGACCAUUGCCCCAGCUUCCCUAAGCUUCUUAUUCUAAUAUGUACAAUGUACUAAAAGCCAUUUUUAUGGUGCAGGAGUCUAUGCCGUGACUUUCAGCUUGUGUACAAUAUUAAUGGAAAAGAUAUGUCUUGAUGAGAGUUCUUCUAAUAGUUCAACAACUUCUGUAAGAAAACAGGCACGGAUCAAAAAGAGAUAUAUAUUACAUGCAUCCUACUAUUUUUAAAGAACAAUCUGUUGUUGAUCGGACAAUUAAUGGCAUCUGCAUCCUCUUGCAAUACAGUCGACAUAACUUUAAUGUGGUGUGUCAAUUAACUUUCUUCUCUGUAUCAUAAUAGAUUCAGUUCAGAUGUAUAUCCACAUGUCGUGCUGUUAAUUUGGGAACUUUUUCACAAGAUUGGUGAUGGGCUGGCUGCGAUCUGGGAGGAAAAUUGACUGCACUAGCAAUCCGAACACUGUAGGAAUGAUAAGUCAAAGCUAAGAUGGGUUUCUGUAGUUAUGUAACAAUCUAAUUAUGAUGGUUCCUGCAGUCUUACCCGAUUCUGGUCCAUGUUCAAGAGGUACUUAGACGUCUUGCACAAGACUGUGAGGCUGCUCAUAAAAGCCGUUUGCGGAAAAAGGUACUCACUGCAUUUUUUUAAUGUUCUUACGCAACAUUCCUAACGACACUAACUUUUCCUUAUCGUAUCAAACAAUUUGGUGUUCUGAUAAAGUAACUAAAUUCCCAAGUUUACAUUCUGUUAUUUAGGCCUAUGUUCAGAAGUUAAAAAAUAGUAAAUUGAAGCUGAUUCAAUUGGAACAAGAAGUAGAACAGGCCAGAAAACAAGUAAAGGGACAAUUCAUAUUUUUCUUUUCAUGAAGCUGAGAUUUUGAUCCUUUCCCAUUGAUUAACGCAACGAACAUUUUAUCUUCUAGGAUGAAAGAAAUCUAAAAAAUUAACAAACAUUUUUCCAUAGAGUCUGUAUGUAGGUGGUGGUUUAGAUACUAGCCAGCUAAGUUACUCUGGAACUGCAUGCUCAGGUUUGUUGGUUCACAUGUUAUCAUGUACUUGGUGAAAUUUCAUACACGAAAAUGUCGGAACGACUAAAUUAUGCUUGGAUUUGGAAAGAAUUCAGUUGAGAGUUUUAUCGUAGUUUCAUUAUUAGUACAUAACGAAACAACUUUCUGCUUUAUCAGUAAAUUAGACUUGCGGACUAGAGAACCAAUCAAAAUGAAUUUGGUUCUUACUGGAUCAUUUCACAAUGUUUUUCAGUACUAUAUGGUUUCUUAUGAUAGAGGAAAUUAUUUCUACUUGUUUUCUCCUACAUAUGUUCUUACAGAUUACUCGUUAUAAAUAUAUAGUUCUAAUACAAUAUCAACUCCAUAAUGCAAGAAUCCAGCAAUAACAACAAGAUAAACUAACUAACACCAAAAACAACAAGUUGAACAACAAGUGCUAGUGAAUCGAAAUAGGCCACACACGACUUCACUAGGCUUUAAGAAUCACGUUUUUAGAACAAGAUGAAGUUUUCAACAAGAACCAGCAAGUCAACACGGUGCUAGUGAAUCGAAAGAGCCCCACACAGCUUCACUAGACUUCAAGAUUACAAAACACAAUCUCAACAAGAUUACAAGAAGAUAGUAACUUGACAUGUAAUAUUUAACAGUCUAAGAACCUUAACAACAAGAGAGGACCCAAAGACUAAAGAAUAUUAACACCAAGUUCUUAUUUGGACCAAGAGGAACUCUAUGACCUCAAGAUCCUUGUUUCUAGCCAAGAUACAACACAAGUAUCACUCUACUUGUGAGUUUUCAGAUUUGGGGCUUCUCCAAUGGAAGAGUGAAAAGUUCCUCAAUAUUACAAGUGUUUUUCUCAAAAUAUUAUGAAACAACUAGCUGCCAAGUAACCCUAAUAGUCUAUUUAUAUUACACCAUAAAUAAAGGAGAAAAUGACCAGAUUGCCCUUUCCAUGGGGUGGCCUUGGUGUGUAAGUUUAUUACACUUCAAGGCCCCUCUUCACACUUAAAAACAUUUAGAACAUUAGGUGGAUCAAUCACCAACUCACAAAAGGCCAUUUGCAUGAACAAGGCUUGGAGUUUUUAUAACUCCCGAGCUUGGCUACGUGUGAAUGAUCAUAAACUUGUUGGACAGCUUGCUACACUCGUAUCAUCCUCUCCAUCUUAAGAGGAAUUUGACCUCAAAUUUGGCAUUUGGUCAUCUUCAACCAUAUCCACAAGAGAAAUAUCACACACGUUGAAAGUGUUAUGCACUUGAUAUUUCGGUGGAAGGUCAAUCUUGUAGGCGUUGUCAUUGAUUUUCUCAAGUACUUGGAAUGGACCAUCACCCCUCGACAUCAAUUUGGACUUUCUUUGAGAUGGAAACCGAUCCUUUCGAAGAUUCACCCACACCCAAUCUCCCGGUUCAAGAAUAAAUUUCUUUCUCCCUUUGUUGGCCUUCCUUGUAAUUUCUUGGUUUUUCUUCUCAAGUCGAAGCCGCACCUUCUCAUGUAACUUCUUUAUAGAACCUUCCCGCUUGCUUCCAUCUAAGCUAAUCAUGAGAUCACUUGGCAAAGGUGUUAAAUCCAAAGGGGUAAGGGGUUGAGGCCGUAUACACACUCAAAGGGAGUUAUUCCCGUACUUGAGUGUAUGACAUGGUUAUAGGAAAACUCAAUCAAUGGUAAGUGCUCCUCCCAAGAAGUCAUUUUUCCCUUAGCCAUGGAACGUAGCUAGCACCCAAAGUCCUAUUUACUACUUCCGUUUGGCCAUCGGUUUGUGGGUGGCAAGACGUAGAGAACAACAACUUGGUAUCAAACCUACCCCACAUGGACUUCCAAAAGUGACUUAGGAACUUAGAGUCCCUAUCACUCACAAUGGUCCUCGGAACGCCAUGCAAUUACAACAUUAUCAAAAAAUAAAAAGGCCACGCUAGGUGCGUCAUCACAUUUAAAGCAAGGAAUAAAGUACGCCAUCUUAGAAAAUUGAUCGACUACAACAAAGAUACUAUCCAGCCUCGUCUAGUCCUUGGCAGCCCCAACACGAAAUCCAUAGAUAUAUCAAGCCAAGGACGUAGAGGCGUGGGCAGCGGGGUGUACAACCCAUGAGGUAGGAGUCGAGAUUUGGAUCCUUUGUAUUCUACACAUUAUCCGUAAAUCCUAACCACAUCCUUAUGCAUUCUUGGCCAAUAGAAUUGCUUCUCUAAUAUUUCGAGGGUCUUUUUGACCCCAAAAUGACCCAUUAAACCGUCAUCAUGUGCUUUCCUCACAAAUAACUCUCUCCAAGAGCUAAAGGGUACAAACAAUCGUCUAACUUUAAAUAAGUAACUAUCAAACUUGGCAUAGGGAUUUGAACCCCUAGUCGAAUCCCACUUGUCCCUACCUAAUUCUUUCCAUUCCCAAAAUAUAGGAGCAAAGUGAGGGUCCUCGAGAUAUAAUCCUCUUAAGCUCUCAAAACCCAUCAAUUUUGAUGACAAAGUGGACACAAGAACAUGUUUUCUAGAGAAAGCAUCGGCUACUACAUUGUCCUUACCCUUUUUGUAUUGGAUAACAUAAGGGAAGUCUCAAGAAACUCAAUUCAUUUGGCAUGCCAUUUGUUAAGCUUGUCUUGUGCCCGAAGAUGCUUUAAGGAUUCAUGGUCCAUUUGGAUCACGAACUCCUUAGGCCAUAAGUAGCGCUUCCAAGUGGCCAAGGCUAUAAUUAAGGCAUACAACUCUAAAUCAUAUGUGGAGUAGUUUAGAGUUGCUCAUGGGUUUUAAAUCUUGCAUCAAAACAGCCUCUAUGCCUACUUUACUCGCAUCGCACUCGACUUCGAAUGUCUUAUCAAAGUUGGGCAAUUGUAACAAAGGCUCGGAGAUGAGCAUAGCUUUCAAAGCUUCAAAAGCCUUAGAUUACUCGUCACCCCACUUGAAGGGUUGAUCUUUCCGAAUGACCUCGGUCAAGGGGGAGGCUAUGGUGCUAAAUCCUUUGACAAACCUUUUAUAAAAACUAGCCAACCCAUGGAAGCUUCUUACUUCUCCAACGGUUUGUGGGAUUGGCCAAUUUUUAAUAGCAUUUAUCUUGGAUUCAUCCACUUCAACCCCUCUUGAACUAAUAACAAAACCCAAGAAAACAACUUCAUUAACACUAAAGAGGCAUUUUUCCAGAUUUGCUACAGUUUUUCCUUUCUAAGGACAUCAAACACACAUUGUAAAUGCAUCACAUGCUCAUCUAAAGACUUGAUAUAAACCAAGACAUCAUCAAAAUAGACAACAACAAACUUUCCAAUAAAUGACUUCAUCACAUGAUUCAUUAGCCUCAUAAAAGUACUUGGAGCAUUUGUUAGUCCGAAUGGCAUAAACAUCCAUUCAUAGAGGCCAAACUUGGUCUUGAAGGCGGUUUUCCAUUCAUCACUAGGUUGCAUUCUUAUUUGGUGAUAGCCACUCCUUAAAUCAAUCUUGGAAAAUAAACACGAACCAUUUAAUUCAUCAAGCAUAUCAUCUAACCUAGGGAUAGGGUGACGAUAUUUUACCGUAAUCUUGUUGAUGGCUCGACAGUCCACACACAUAUGCCAUGUUCUAUCUUUCUUAGGCACUAGUAGCACCGGAACCACACACAGACUCAUGCUUUUCUAGAUCUACCUUUUGUUUAGAAGUUCCUCAACUUAAUAUUGCAAUUUCUUAGUGUCCGUAGGGUUGCUUCUAUAAGCUGGCUUGUUUGGCAAUUGUGAGCCCAGCACGAAAUCAAUUUGGUGGUCAAUUCUCCGAAGUGGGGGCAAUCCUUGCGAAAGUUCUUCGGGAAAUACAUCUUCAUAAUCCUGCAACACACAAGAAAUCAAAGGAGAAAUGGAAGAAUUAGUGAGGUUAGUGUUAAAACAAUGAGCCAAAAGUAACAUAGGCGUGUCCUCAUCAUGAUCCAUGAAGAGUUCCUUCUUUCUAACCAACAUCACCAUGUUUUCCUUCCCCUUUGAUGUUGAGGCAGCCUCGGAUACCCCUACUGCCCUACCUACGGGUUCCCCUUUUUUUUUCUUCCUUUUCAGAUUUUUUCGCCUUUUCCUUCAAUUCUCUUAUCUUUUGAUGCCACUCAUUUACUUGGGAAGGCAAAAGAGGAUGAAGUGUGACCUUUCAGCCAUCCUUCUCAAGUAUAUAUCGAUUGGACCUCCCAUCAUGUUUGGUAGACCUAUCAUAUUGCCAAGGUCUACCUAACAACAAGUGACACGCUUGUAUUGGUAUCACAUCACAAAGCACUUCAUCGUGGUAGUUUCCCACCUUAAAUCGUAUCACGCAUUGCCUUGUGACAUUUAAUUCACUACAUUCAUUCAACCAUUGCAACUUGUAAGGACUAGUGUGUGGUGUAGUUGGCAACUUCAAAAAGUUUACCAUAGCAACACUAACAACAUUUGCACAACUACCACUAUCGAUCACCAAAGUGCACACACUCCUCUUUACAAGACAUUUAGUAUGGAACAGAUUUUCCCGUUGACUUGGGUCAUCUAUUUCCUUACUAAUCAUGACACGCCUAACUACAAAGUUUGGAACCACACAAUCCCCUUCAUGCGAAUAAACAUUUUCACUAACAUCAUCAUCAUCAUCAUGUGGCCCAUUCUCGGGUUUCUCUCCAUCUUGAGGCUCGGCCUCAUCCUUCUCUUUUUUAAGACCCACCUCUUCACCAAGGCAAUACAAUCUCCCUUCCCAUAGAAUCACGUUGCAUCAGUUUGGAUAUUCAUUGGCUUUAUGUCCCCAACCUUGGCACUUAAAACAUUGGAAUCCCUUUGGGUUAGGAUACUUAUGAACUUCUUUCUUUCAAGGAAUUUUGUGGACUAUUUUAGGCUCGGUCAGCCUUGUAGUGGCUCUUUGGUCCUUGUUUUUGGGCCAACCCGAAGAAUAUUAAGACAUCUCCUUAUUUCUAGGCUAACCCGAGGUGGAUUGUCCCGUUGCCUUGAACGACGACCUCUCUUUAAGUUCCCUUUCAAUCUCAAGAGCCACUUGAAAAAUACCUUCAACGGUAUCAAACUUGUGAAGUGUUAAAUGAGUGGAGAUCUCUUUGUUCAACCCACACUUGAACCGGAUGAUGUCUUGACUGAUUUGUUCCCCACGAUGAUCAAGCUUCAACAUGAGUUGUUGAAACUCAUCAUAAUACGCCAUCACAUUUUUGUUACCUUGACGCAAGUUGUACAAUAUAGCAAGCAAGGUACCAUUGUCUCAUCAAGUACCUCAACCGAAACCAAGGUGGUGGCUGCCCAUCAACUAAUUCAUUACCAAACCGCUUGAAGUACUCCCAUCAAGUGUUAGCAUAACCCUCAAAAUGAGCUAUGGCAUAACAACUUUUCUUUUUUUUCGAGAUAUCAUUAACCUGGAAAACUUUGUCACAAGCCGAUUCCCAAGCUAAGUAGACCUCGGGGUCACUUUCACCUUUAAAUAUUGGUAGGCUCAACUUGAUGGUGUUGAUGCCUAUAUCUCUCUCUUGGUGCUGGUUUCCCCUUUCUCCAUACCCUCGAUAUCUCCUUUGAUCUCCACGACCCCCUCUCAUCUUCUCCUUCCUCAUGUAAGCAUCCUCAAAGGCUCUAUAUCCUUCAUAUCCCUUUCUACCAUAUUCCUCAAAGUGGGCUAGACAGUUUUGGACAUUUUAAACUUCAUUUGGAGGAAUUGGAUUUUAUGAAGGUGGUGGUCUUUGAUUUAAUGGAGCUUGGAAGGGAGGGUUCGAAUUUAGCGGAGGUACUUGACGUCCAAGUGCCUCUUGUGAAACUUGAGAAGUUUGGAAAUGUAUUGGUCUAGUGGGGUCAUGGUUUGGAGGGAAAUGAGUGGUUUGGCUUGCGGCAUUUAGUGAGUCUUGGGGUGGAUUUAGCAUUUGGUGCACUGUUUCGGGAGUGAUGGUUGCGGAUGAAGUUCUAUCAUGCCCACAUGAAGAAACAUGUAGAGGAGUAGAAGGGAGAGAGUUUCUUUAACUCUCCACUUGUUCUAAUCUCCCACUAAUAGCCGACACAUCUCCCUUUAUUAUUAUCAAAUCCCCUCUCACAACUCCAACUUCUGUAUUUAACCUUUCAAGUGUUCGGGUAACGUCCUCAAGAGUGGCCCUCAUACAGUCAAGAGCAUUAGUAUCCAUAUUUUGGGACGUAUUCCCCUCCAUUGUCAAGGUAUUACCUAUGAAAUCAGCAAACAAGUUAGUGAAAAAAAAUCCUCUCCUCACUUACACUCUUUGGAUCACCUCACACUUUAGUUCCACAAGUGUUGUAGAUUGGCUAGUAACUCAUGAAUCCUUAAGGUAUGAGUAAGCUCUUAUCCGGAGUGGAUUCAUUUUUGAAGAAUCAAAGAUUUCUCGUUGGACUAGAAUCAAGAAGUAGCAAUGUAUUCAAAAUAUAAAAGCACCCAAGUAAUCGUUGACACGAACAAACAGAUUCAAAGGACUAAUUGACAACCUAGUAGGAAUGUACUAGUUUGUUAAUUAGUUCUAGAACCAAGUAAGGAAACCAAGAAUCAACAAUUAGAAACUAGAAAAUAUCAAAAAUUGAGCUUAUUAGUGACGUGGCAAUUGCAAUGGUGAUGUGUCAGUAUGUAAUUGGUCUUGGUCCCACACAACAAUUUUUUUGUCACAAAUCUAAAAUUUCAAUAUUCACAUAACUUGUAAUGGAUGACAAUUGGUUUUGGAGGAAAAGUAAAAGUAUUGUACUCUUUUUAACUUUUCAAACUCAAAAAGGUGAGAUUUGACUAUACUAAUCCCACAAAAUAAGGUCCCUUGAUUUAAAGAAAAGUGGUUGUCAAGUCUAGGAAGUGAUGUGUGCAAGUCUUCUCACCAACAACUUUAUAAAUUUUGUAUUUCAACCUUUUGGA
This is a long non-coding RNA of Capsicum annuum, 8341 nucleotides long. RefSeq lists it as uncharacterized. The record is from RefSeq and is a predicted model, not a curated record. The transcript is spliced from 5 exons. NCBI's taxonomy places the organism in Eukaryota, Viridiplantae, Streptophyta, Magnoliopsida, Solanales, Solanaceae.